Molecule: long non-coding RNA, 218 nt
Filed under: Nicotiana benthamiana
Lineage: Eukaryota; Viridiplantae; Streptophyta; Magnoliopsida; Solanales; Solanaceae
Description: long non-coding RNA (NBEN_LNC032509)
Source: RNAcentral
CCAUACCUUCUCAUUGAGCGUUGGGUUUGCUAAGUACCUUCAAUCUUAGUGUGUGAAGUCUUGUUGUGCGAUAUCCACGAGCAAGGUGAAGUCUUGAGGUGAGGUAUCCUCGAGCAUGUUGAUGUCUUGUAGAGCGUACAUCUACGAGCAAGUGUAACGGUUUGUUAGGCACCCGUAAGCUUAACGGAGUUAGUGUAAACUCGAGAGAGUCUCUCGGG